CAAAGUAAAUAAAUCAGUUUUUGAGCAUGUUCAUGCAUCACGAAUGCCAUGAGAUAUAUUAGGUUGUUUGCAUUAGAAUUCACGAAUAUGUUGCAUUGCAUAAUAUGAUGAUGAUGUGGAUGGGUAUUGGAUGAUCCUUUAGUCCUCGUAUGAUAUGAUAUGAUGAUGAUAUGGUAUGGUAUGAUAUGGAAGUCCAGGUGUGGCCUGCACUACGCCCCUGGCAUAAUGUAAGAGAAAGUCCGGGUGUGGCCUGCACUACGCCCCCGGCACGAUUGGAUAUGUAUGAUAUGUCAUGUGUAAAGGAAAGACCAGGUGUGGCCUGCACUACGCCCCUGGCAU
Molecule: long non-coding RNA, 339 nt
Filed under: Manihot esculenta (cassava)
Lineage: Eukaryota; Viridiplantae; Streptophyta; Magnoliopsida; Malpighiales; Euphorbiaceae
Description: long non-coding RNA (MESC_LNC010001)
Source: RNAcentral